GUGAGUAACACGUGGGUAAUCUGCCCUGCACUCUGGGAUAAGCCUUGGAAACGGGGUCUAAUACCGGAUAGGACACGUGGCCGCAUGGUCUGCGUGUGGAAAGUUCCGGCGGUGCAGGUUGAGCCCGCGGCCUAUCAGCUUGUUGGUGGGGUGAUGGCCUACCAAGGCGACGACGGGUAGCCGGCCUGAGAGGGUGACCGGCCACACUGGGACUGAGACACGGCCCAGACUCCUACGGGAGGCAGCAGUGGGGAAUCUUGCGCAAUGGGCGAAAGCCUGACGCAGCAACGCCGCGUGGGGGAUGACGGCCUUCGGGUUGUAAACCUCUUUCGACAUCGACGAAGCCUUCGGGUGACGGUAGGUGUAGAAGAAGCACCGGCUAACUACGUGCCAGCAGCCGCGGUAAUACGUAGGGUGCGAGCGUUGUCCGGAAUUAUUGGGCGUAAAGAGCUCGUAGGCGGUUUGUCGCGUCGGCCGUGAAAACCUGCCGCUUAACGGUGGGCGUGCGGUCGAUACGGGCAGACUUGAGU
RNAcentral lists this ribosomal RNA (530 nucleotides) under Saccharopolyspora gregorii. RNAcentral describes it as "bacterial SSU rRNA". It matches the Rfam family "Bacterial small subunit ribosomal RNA", at positions 106 to 647 of the family's 1533-position model. The record is from RNAcentral. Lineage: Bacteria; Bacillati; Actinomycetota; Actinomycetes; Pseudonocardiales; Pseudonocardiaceae.